AUUGAACGCUGGCGGCAUGCCUUACACAUGCAAGUCGAACGGCAUCGCGGGAAAGCUUGCUUUCCUGGCGGCGAGUGGCGAACGGGUGAGUAACACAUCGGAACGUACCGGCUAGUGGGGGAUAACCCGUCGAAAGACGGGCUAAUACCGCAUACGCUCUUCGGAGGAAAGCAGGGGACCUUUGGGCCUUGCGCUAGUCGAGCGGCCGAUGUCCGAUUAGCUAGUUGGUGGGGUAAAGGCCUACCAAGGCGACGAUCGGUAGCGGGUCUGAGAGGACGAUCCGCCACACUGGGACUGAGACACGGCCCAGACUCCUACGGGAGGCAGCAGUGGGGAAUCUUGGACAAUGGGGGCAACCCUGAUCCAGCAGUGCCGCGUGGGUGAAGAAGGCCUUCGGGUUGUAAAGCCCUUUCGGCAGGGAAGAAAUCGGCGGGGCGAAUAACCCUGCUGGAUGACGGUACCUGCAGAAGAAGCACCGGCUAACUACGUG
RNAcentral lists this ribosomal RNA (490 nucleotides) under uncultured bacterium. RNAcentral's name for it is "partial 16S ribosomal RNA". It matches the Rfam family "Bacterial small subunit ribosomal RNA", at positions 29 to 507 of the family's 1533-position model. The record is from RNAcentral.